This 364-nucleotide ribosomal RNA is filed under the name uncultured Eubacterium sp. RNAcentral's name for it is "bacterial SSU rRNA". It matches the Rfam family "Bacterial small subunit ribosomal RNA", at positions 354 to 733 of the family's 1533-position model. Lineage: Bacteria; Bacillati; Bacillota; Clostridia; Eubacteriales; Eubacteriaceae. The record is from RNAcentral.
UGGGGGAAUAUUGCACAAUGGGCGAAAGCCUGAUGCAGCAAACGCCGCGUGAGGGAAGACGGUCUUCGGAUUGUAAACCUCUGUCCUUGGUGAAGAAACAUGACGGUAGCCAUGGAGGAAGCCACGGCUAACUACGUGCCAGCAGCCGCGGUAAUACGUAGGUGGCAAGCGUUGUCCGGAUUUACUGGGUGUAAAGGGAGCGCAGGCGGGAAGGCAAGUCAGCUGUGAAAACUAUGGGCUUAACCCAUAGACUGCAGUUGAAACUGUUUUUCUUGAGUGGAGUAGAGGUAAGCGGAAUUCCGAGUGUAGCGGUGAAAUGCGUAGAGAUUCGGAGGAACACCAGUGGCGAAGGCGGCUUACUGGG